Molecule: ribosomal RNA, 253 nt
Filed under: uncultured bacterium
Lineage: Bacteria
Description: partial 16S ribosomal RNA
Rfam family: Bacterial small subunit ribosomal RNA
Source: RNAcentral
UACGUAGGGGGCAAGCGUUGUCCGGAUUUAUUGGGCGUAAAGAGCGUGUAGGCGGCUAGGUAGGUCCGUUGUGAAAACUCGAGGCUCAACCUCGAGACGCCGGUGGAAACCAUCUAGCUAGAGUCCGGAAGAGGAGAGUGGAAUCCCUGGUGUAGCGGUGAAAUGCGCAGAUAUCAGGAAGAACACCCGUGGCGAAGGCGGCUCUCUGGGACGUGACUGACGCUGAGGCGCGAAAGCUAGGGGAGCAAACGGG